ACCAUGCAAGUCGAGCGGUACAGAGAGUAGCUUGCUACUUUGCUGACGAGCGGCGGACGGGUGAGUAAUGCUUGGGAAUAUGCCUUUACGUGGGGGACAACAGUUGGAAACGACUGCUAAUACCGCAUAAUGUCUUCGGACCAAAGGAGGGGACUCUUCGGAGCCUUUCGCGUAAAGAUUAGCCCAAGUGGGAUUAGCUAGUUGGUGGGGUAAUGGCUCACCAAGGCGACGAUCCCUAGCUGGUUUGAGAGGAUGAUCAGCCACACUGGGACUGAGACACGGCCCAGACUCCUACGGGAGGCAGCAGUGGGGAAUAUUGCACAAUGGGCGCAAGCCUGAUGCAGCCAUGCCGCGUGUGUGAAGAAGGCCUUCGGGUUGUAAAGCACUUUCAGUCGUGAGGA
This 401-nucleotide ribosomal RNA is filed under the name Agarivorans sp. con1. RNAcentral's name for it is "bacterial SSU rRNA". It matches the Rfam family "Bacterial small subunit ribosomal RNA", at positions 53 to 448 of the family's 1533-position model. Lineage: Bacteria; Pseudomonadati; Pseudomonadota; Gammaproteobacteria; Alteromonadales; Alteromonadaceae. The record is from RNAcentral.